UAGGGAAUCUUCGGCAAUGGGGGCAACCCUGACCGAGCAACGCCGCGUGAGUGAAGAAGGUUUUCGGAUCGUAAAGCUCUGUUGUAAGAGAAGAACGUGUGUGAGAGUGGAAAGUUCACACAGUGACGGUAACUUACCAGAAAGGGACGGCUAACUACGUGCCAGCAGCCGCGGUAAUACGUAGGUCCCGAGCGUUGUCCGGAUUUAUUGGGCGUAAAGCGAGCGCAGGCGGUUUAAUAAGUCUGAAGUUAAAGGCAGUGGCUUAACCAUUGUUCGCUUUGGAAACUGUUAAACUUGAGUGCAGAAGGGGAGAGUGGAAUUCCAUGUGUAGCGGUGAAAUGCGUAGAUAUUUGGAGGAACACCGGUGGCGAAAGCGGCUCUCUGGUCUGUAACUGACACUGAGGCUCGAAAGCGUGGGGAGCAAACAGG
RNAcentral lists this ribosomal RNA (429 nucleotides) under bacterium. RNAcentral's name for it is "partial 16S ribosomal RNA". It matches the Rfam family "Bacterial small subunit ribosomal RNA", at positions 355 to 776 of the family's 1533-position model. The record is from RNAcentral.